GAUGAACGCUGGCGGCGUGCUUAACACAUGCAAGUCGAACGAACCUUCGGGUUAGUGGCGGGCGGGUGAGUAACGCGUGAGAAUCUGCCCUCAGGAGGGGGACAACAGCUGGAAACGGCUGCUAAUACCCCAUAUGCCGCGAGGUGAAAUGAAUUUCGCCUGAGGAUGAGCUCGCGUCUGAUUAGCUAGUUGGUGUAGGUAAUGGCUCACCAAGGCAUCGAUCAGUAGCUGGUCUGAGAGGAUGAUCAGCCACACUGGGACUGAGACACGGCCCAGACUCCUACGGGAGGCAGCAGUGGGGAAUUUUCCGCAAUGGGCGAAAGCCUGACGGAGCAACGCCGCGUGAGGGAUGAAGGCCUCUGGGCUGUAAACCUCUUUUAUCAAGGAAGAAGAUCUGACGGUACUUGAUGAAUAAGCCACGGCUAAUUCCGUG
Molecule: ribosomal RNA, 433 nt
Filed under: uncultured bacterium
Lineage: Bacteria
Description: bacterial SSU rRNA
Rfam family: Bacterial small subunit ribosomal RNA
Source: RNAcentral